UUAGAGUUCUAGAAUCUGGAAGUCAGAAAUCAAGAGGCUCAUGUUCCCUCUGAGGCCUUAGGGAAGAAUCUUUCCUGGCUUCCUGGCUUAUAGAGGAUCUUGGCCACCCUGGCUGUUCCUUAUAGGUGUAUCACUCAUAAAUAUAUUGCUCCAAUCUCUGUCUCCAUUGUCACAUGAAUUCUGUGUGCAAGACUACCCUAGAGAAACCACCUGGCAACCUGCCAUCCUAGAAUAGCUCACCACCCCAACAACAGCCAAUAAGAUUUGAAUAUAAUAACUAACCAAUCAUAAUGGAGGUAGAGCUUGUUACUAAGGCUAGUGUAUCCCAAAACCUUUAAAAGCUGCUUGAAAUUGCUUUUCGGGAACUCCACACUGCAUGCUGUGUUAAUAAAGUGCUCUUGUGUGUUGCAUAUGUGAGUGGUGAUCUUCUUGGGGACAUGGCGCUCGAGUAGAACAUUUGGGGGCUCAUCCGGGAUCAACUCUGCCCCUGGAAGACCCCUACUGCAUUGAGCACUUAAACUUUAGAAACUGAUCAAUUCUAUUUUGUUUACACAUCAGCCUACUUGGGAUGACUGUCAACAGUUACUUCAGAUUCUCUUCACUAUGGAGGAGAGGGAAAGAAUUAUUAAAGAGGCCCAGAAAUUAGUUGUUGGGGAAGAUGGAAGACACACCACCAUUCCUGAACAGUUGGAAGCUGGGUUUCCAUUGAGGUGACUGGAUGUGGACCCCAAUACUGAGCAUUGUUUAAAGCUCAGGAGGCUCGUUGGACCAAAGUGAAGGUGACUUUUACAGGAAUAACACCACCAAAAGCCCAUCCAUUCCAACCACGCGAUUCAGUAGUGAUAAAGAGAUGUUGAGUUGAGAAUCUUGAACCCUGUUGGAAAGGGCUCUACACUGUGAUCCUCAUAACUCCAUCAGCUGUAAAGGUUGAUGGGAUUCCAGCAUGGAUUCAUCACAACCACGUCAAGGCAAUGGGGACAAUGCCCCAAACAGACUGGAAGAUCUGAUGACAUCCAACCAUCCCACUCAAACCUCGGAUAACAAAAAGAAACCAGACACCAAGGAGAGAGGUCCCCGAUACAGGGGACUAAAACAUUGGAGAUUAGCUACUUUGUCUCUAACUUGCUUGUUAGUUUUUGUUCCAACAGGUCUCUCUAUUAAAGUGAGUCCACACCAACCCUUAAAUGUGACUUGGAUCAUCUAUAAUAUGAUAAUGAGCACUGUAGCAAAUUCCACUUCCAAGCUGGCUUCUCCUACCGCCUGGUUCCCAGAUUUACUAGUUGACCUCUGUGACCUAGUUGCCACAGACUGGGAUCCAGCUGACCGAUGGCCCUCUUGGCCACUACAGCCUUCUAACACUGGCUACGGAUGUAAAACUCCUGAAAAUUGAGGUGACACCCGUAAAAGACACUUCUAUGUCUGCCCAGGGCACUUCAGGUCAUGCUAGAGACAACGUGAAUGUGGAGGACCAGAUCACUUCUGUAAGUCUUGGGGCUGUGAAUCAACAGGAUGGAUAAUAUGGCAGGCACUAGUCAAAACUGAUUUCAUCACGGUAACCCACUAUGGGGACUACACUACAACCGGAGCAAGACACUGCCCUGGUAAGAGUGACUGUAGACCAUGUUAUGAGUCUCCCAAGUACUUGGGAACACCAGAAGAAAAAAGUAACACCCUGUUCAAAAAUACCCCUGGCUGACUACCCUGGUUUCAUCCUUAAUAAGACCUUUAGUCAUUUUGAUUUUGCUACUAACCUUUGGCCCCUACAUACUCAACAACUAGUCACUUUUUGCCAGGGUAUCAACAGUCCAACUCAUGGUGCUAAAAUCACAAUACCAAGGAAUUUCCCUAGGAAUGGGAGAUAUGGACAUAUGAGCUCAUGAUUGAGCUCAGAGUUACAUACUCAAGGGGGGGAAUGUGGAAGCCAGAGUGACUCCAUUUUUGUAAUAAAAGGCUGCAUUUUGAAUUGAGCCUUGAACCCAAUUGUUUUGUGACUGCUGAGCCAGGCAAACUAGUUCCUGGGAUAACAAAAUAUACAGAAGUAUAGAAUGUUCCUUAGAUAAGACCACCCCAGAGAAACCACCUGGCAACCUUGAAACUCUGCCACCCCAGAAUACCUCACCACCCCAACAACAGCCAAUAAUAUUUGAAUAUAAUAACUAACCAAGAUAUAGAGCUUGUUACUAAGGCUAAUGUAUCCCAAAACCUAUAAAAGCAGCUUGAAAUUGCUUUUUGGGGUCUCUAAUCUCCUAUUGGCAGACCCACUGCA
Long non-coding RNA from Fukomys damarensis (Damara mole-rat), 2266 nucleotides. RefSeq lists it as uncharacterized. The transcript has 3 exons. The record is from RefSeq and is a predicted model, not a curated record. NCBI's taxonomy places the organism in Eukaryota, Metazoa, Chordata, Mammalia, Rodentia, Bathyergidae.